This 430-nucleotide ribosomal RNA is filed under the name uncultured bacterium. RNAcentral describes it as "partial 16S ribosomal RNA". It matches the Rfam family "Bacterial small subunit ribosomal RNA", at positions 29 to 506 of the family's 1533-position model. The record is from RNAcentral.
AACGAACGCUGGCGGCAGGCUUAACACAUGCAAGUCGAACGCCCCGCAAGGGGAGUGGCAGACGGGUGAGUACCGCGUGGGAACAUACCCUUUUCUACGGAAUAGCUCUGGGAAACUGGAAUUAAUACCGUAUACGCCCUACGGGGGAAAGAUUUAUCGGGGAAGGAUUGGCCCGCGUUGGAUUAGCUAGUUGGUGGGGUAAAGGCCUACCAAGGCGACGAUCCAUAGCUGGUCUGAGAGGAUGAUCAGCCACAUUGGGACUGAGACACGGCCCAAACUCCUACGGGAGGCAGCAGUGGGGAAUAUUGGACAAUGGGCGCAAGCCUGAUCCAGCCAUGCCGCGUGAGUGAUGAAGGCCUUAGGGUUGUAAAGCUCUUUCACCGAUGAAGAUAAUGACGGUAGUCGGAGAAGAAGCCCCGGCUAACUUCGU